GACAAUCCUCAGUGGCAGGCAAGAAAGAGGAAUGACAGCAUCACCUUCAUAGAGGACCCUGGACAUGGUGUUCUGGCUAUUAAAUCAGACCUGCACCACGGGCACUGCCCUGUGCCUGGAAAGGUGAGAAAAUGCCUCCAACCUUCAGCCAACUUUUCUUCCUCAAAAAGUAGAGCCUUCUACAGAGGCAAAAAUGGUAGUUGAAAUUGUGAACAGUGAGGGUCCGCACAGCACUUUUUUAGAAAUUUGAGGGUAAACUGUUGCUUGAAAUGAUCCAACUUUUCAAAGAGGUAAAGUUAUUUAGUAGAGAGGCUUUUAAGUUGCCCUGAAAAGCUGUUUUGCUACCAUGUGGGAUGUAAAGUUGGAUGGAGUUAGAGGUGAGUGCAGGCAAUUCAACGCAUUGGUAGGGGUGGAAUUCCUCAGCAGAAAUCACCAUCUGGGUUUUGCUCCCAUCUCAACCUAGUUCAGGUCUAGAGUGAUUAAGUUGGAGACUUCUGAGGAGAGAGAAAUGAACUAAAGAUAAAUAAAACUGAUUUAAUUUUAGCUAUAGCAGAACAGAACAAAGAAGCAACCACAUUUCAUCUAACAUCAAGCACCUACUAAAGGAUGCAUUCUGCAGGCCAACUGUGUCCGCAUCCAAACCAAAGUCACUGUGGUUGCUCUUUUGCUUUAAUAGAGUUUAGAAACAAGACGUUUCUAAAUAAGCCAAGAUAACACAAUAAGGACCAAGUUUUAAUCCCACAUAUACAAAAAGAUUAAAGUGAGUUUUCCUGAAUUGCUUAUGUUAUGAACAGAAGGUUACCUUGUCAUAAUUUGGCCUUCGGCUUGAAAUUCUGACUCUUUUAGGCCACCAGUUAUGACACUGACUUAGUAAUAGCUUUGGACUUUGAAAUUGAGUGAGGGUCAUAUAGCGUCAGCAGUUUUCUUGUAGCCUGUGAUUGCACUGAGAUAUAAUUUUUAAAGACGUGGCCUUUGGACCUCUGUCUACUAGUUAAUCUCUCCCAUCUACCAUUCAAAUGUGCUAUAUACAACUAUCAUAUCAACUUCUUAGCAAGCACUUUUCUGGUCCUCCAUCACACCCAGCGAGAUGUCUAGUUAUGCCUUUCAUUUGAGAGUUUCCCCUUUUUUUUUUUUUGAGAUGGAGUCUCACUCUGUUGCCCAGGCUGGAGUGCAGUGGUGUGAUCUCAGCUCACUGCAACCUCCCCCUCCUGGGUUAAAGUGAUUUUCCUGCCUCAGCCUCCUUAGUAGCUGGGAUUACAGGCGCAUGCCACUACACCUAGCUAAUUUUUGUAUUAGUAGAGAUGAGGUUUCACCAUGUUGGCCAGGCUGGUCUCAAACACCUGACCUCAAGUUAAUCCACCCACCUUGGCUUCCCAAAGUGCUGGGUAUUACAGGCAUGAGCCACCAUGCCCAGCCUCCCUUUGCAUAUCUUUUAAAAAGGUAUUAAGCAUCUUGCACAUGUUCUUUGGUUUCAGUUUGCAUGAGUCAACCUGUCUGCAUCAUUUUCCCUUUCACUAUUUCUUGUCUUUGAUGGUACAAUUUUAAAGCUUCAAUUUUUUUUUAAAAAAAGUCUUUUUUGUUGUUGUUUCUAUCUUCCGUUUCCUUCUUUAGACUGUCUAGGAACAUUUUAAGGUACUCAUGCUCUUCAAAAUCUUACACAAUCAAGAUCCAAACUCCAUCACCAUUCGUGUCUUAGCUUGUGAAUUUCUUUCUUUUUAAAUAAAGUUGUUCAACAAAUAUGAGCAUGUGCAACGAGCUGUUUUGGCUUUGUAUUCCCCAAGUUCUCAUAUAAAUUGGCUUUAUAUUUA
Molecule: long non-coding RNA, 1808 nt
Organism: Macaca fascicularis (crab-eating macaque)
Lineage: Eukaryota; Metazoa; Chordata; Mammalia; Primates; Cercopithecidae
Source: Ensembl